CAAACGUUUGUUAACGCACUCUCCCUUUAAACCUCGUCGAGGAUUGUGGGAAAUGUAGUCAGCGCCGUAUUGCUGUUGUCCACAGCUGAAGUCUCACAGUUUCACAGUCCACCAUGGCGGACGAACAAGAGAUAAUGUGCAAGCUAGAAAACAUCAAAGAAAUAAGGAAUAAGACAAUUCAGAUGGAGAAGAUCAAAUCUCGACUGAGGAGUGAGUUUGAAGCUCUGGAGUCAGAAGAGAAGCACCUGAGAGAGUACAAACAGGAAAUGGAUCUUCUGCUGCAGGAGAAAAUGGCUCAUGUAGAGGAGCUGCGUCUCAUACAUGCUGAUAUU
This is a long non-coding RNA of Sinocyclocheilus rhinocerous, 332 nucleotides long. RefSeq lists it as uncharacterized. NCBI's taxonomy places the organism in Eukaryota, Metazoa, Chordata, Actinopteri, Cypriniformes, Cyprinidae. The transcript is spliced from 3 exons. The record is from RefSeq and is a predicted model, not a curated record.